RNAcentral lists this ribosomal RNA (116 nucleotides) under Pseudogymnoascus destructans 20631-21. The record is from RNAcentral. Lineage: Eukaryota; Fungi; Ascomycota; Leotiomycetes; Thelebolales; Thelebolaceae.
ACGACCAUAGACUCAAUAGAACUGGGCAUCCCGUCCGCUCUGCCAUACAUAACCUUGAGAUCGGUGGAUUAGUAGUUGGGUGGGUGACCACCAGCGAAUACCCACUGUUGUAUGUU